This 58-nucleotide transfer RNA is filed under the name Apaloderma vittatum (bar-tailed trogon). It matches the Rfam family "tRNA", at positions 8 to 63 of the family's 71-position model. From Rfam's summary of the family: Transfer RNA (tRNA) molecules are approximately 80 nucleotides in length. Lineage: Eukaryota; Metazoa; Chordata; Aves; Trogoniformes; Trogonidae. The record is from Rfam by way of RNAcentral.
UAGCUCAGUCGGUUGAGCAUGGUGCUUAUAACACCAAGGUCGCAGGUUCGAUUCCUGU